GGAGGAUUAGGCUCAGCUGGGAGAGCAUCUGCCUUACAAGCAGAGGGUCGGCGGUUCGAGCCCGUCAUCCUCCACCA
RNAcentral lists this transfer RNA (77 nucleotides) under Bacillus halotolerans. Its description in RNAcentral is "tRNA-Val". It matches the Rfam family "tRNA". From Rfam's summary of the family: Transfer RNA (tRNA) molecules are approximately 80 nucleotides in length. Their secondary structure includes four short double-helical elements and three loops (D, anti-codon, and T loops). Lineage: Bacteria; Bacillati; Bacillota; Bacilli; Caryophanales; Bacillaceae. The record is from RNAcentral.